UCUAGAAAGCUCAGGUGCUGGUGGGUAGCUUUCAAAAGGCGGCAGGGAACAGCGGCCCGCAGAGAGCCAACUCGGAAAUAAGAAGGCGACUCUGCCCGCGGCAGCGGAUGCGGAGAAGUGCGCUGAGAGAAGGGAAAUGAAGAGGCUCAGACGAAGAAAGGGGUGCCGCUGGUAACCAGGCGGCGCUCCCCGCACACCCUAGGCGUGGGGCUGGCCUCUCUCGGGAAGUCACCUCAAUGAAGACAGGGAAAGUGCUAAGACACCAGGGAAGAGGGGACAGGCCCUCGACAGCCAGCUCAUUGUGGUCCUUUGACGCAGCAAGGAUUUCAGGCCCAAAAUGUCGCCCAUAUUACCCUGGUCAAAAGGAUGCUUAAUGCGGCCUGGGUAUCAGUGAGGGGUCCUAAGAAUGUGUCCUGUGCAACCCCCCCACACCCUCCCAGCUCAGGAGGGCACAGGACGGCAGACUGGCAGAGCCUGUGGAAGUCAAAAAUGGGCAGCAACUUCAAUGUCAGCACCAGGAGGCUGAAAUGCAAAAAAUGGUCAUGCAGCCAUAAAAUGGAACGAAGAAGAAAUCUCAUCUUUAAGUACUGGCAUGGAACAAAAAUCUAAGUGAAAAAAGGCCAGAAAUAGACCUGAGUGAAAGAAAUUGGGGCUGUGUAGGCUCUGGGUUUGCAAAGGCCUGGAGGAACACCCAAGAAAUCAGGAGACGCUGGACUCCUCCUUCGGUUCUUUCUGAACAUGUUCACGUACUGAACUAUUUAAAAUGUUUUUAAGUGGCCAUGAGAAAAUGAAGCUCUCACUCUGUGCCAGGGUCUGCAUCUGCAUCCCCGGCACCCAGCACACACGGGAACAGCUCAGGACAUGCCCCCAGCAUUCAUCAGGAGCCACUUGGAGGGGGGCUCGGGUGCUUAGAACAGCGGAAAGCAGUGGUUCCCACGAGGUCUCCCCAGGAGACACCUGGCAAUGUCACAAAACAUUUCUGGUUGUCACAACUAGAAAAAGGAAGGAGUGCUCCUGGCAUCUAGUGGGUGGGAGGCAGGGAUGCUGCUGACCACCCUACCGGGCACAGGACAGCCCCACGACAGAACAAUUAAGCCCAAAAUGUCCAUAGUGUCAGGGUUGAGAAAUCCUGGUGUCAAGAAGCUUCCAAUGAGCUGCCAGGCAAGUCCAACCUUGUGUAAAUACACCACCCACGGAGGCAUCCGUAUCCAUUAAGAGGGAAAAUAAUGCCUAAUAUUUCACCUGAUGGCCCUGACUGCACAUUUCAAACAGAAGAAAACAACGGAACCAGGGGCACCUGAGUGGCUCAGUCGGUUAAGCGACUGCCUUCGGCUCAGGUCAUGGUCCCAGGGUCCUGGGAUCGAGUCCCACAUCGGGCUCCCUGCUCCGCGGGGAGACUGCUUCUCCCUCACCCACUCCCUCUGCUUGUGUUCCCUCUCUCGCUGUGUCUCUCGCUGUCAAAUAAAUAAAUAAAAUCUUAAAAAAAAAACAAACAAAACAACGGAACCAGUGAGUCAACAAAUAAAGUCACUGAGCAACUACUAGACAUCUAGCCUACCAAGGGAACUGUCAGGGGAAGAUCCCUGCCCUGGAGGGAAGACAGAGAAAAAAAUAAUAAUAAUAAUAAUAAUAAUGGCUGCCUUUUGGUGACAACUUUUCUCUGAGGCCCUGUUCUAAACACAAGCAAUUUAUUUACUCCUGGCCAGGGUUCUACAAGAAGGUACUUACUGAGUAUUCCCAUUUUACUGAUGAAGAAACUGAGGCCCAGAGGAAAACAGGCUCACAAUGAAGUGGCUGGUCAAAAGAGAAUGAAUGGAAAAUAUAUUCCACAUAGAAUGUGAAACGGAUUGAUUACACAUAGAAAAAAGCUGAGCAGGAGAAAUACCAGGAGUCUGUGAACGAUGGUGUGCUUGCUGUGGGCCAACGACGACCCAGCACUGUUGUUCAGCGUGUGAGAUCCGCAGCCAUACCACUAGGUCUGAUUCCAAGCACUGCCACCAGCCAACUGUGUAUCCUCUGAAUGUGAACUCGAUCUCGGUUUUUCUGUCACUCUUUACAGUCGCCCAGCACGUGGCACAGGGCCUGGCUUGGGGCCUGGCUCAGAGGUGUCCUCAAGGACACACAUCUGACCAGGUAAAUGAGCAACAGGAGAGGGUUAGCAAAGGUCCAAGGUGUGCCAGCAGCCCUGACUCACAGGAAACUCUCGUUCUCUGUCCCCGGCCUAAAAUUGCUCCCAGCAAUCCAAGAAGGCAGGAGGGGUGUGAAGUCAACGGAGAAGGGGACACCAAAGAGGACCUGGCCAUUUCAGGGUCCGAAAGAGAGAAACCAGAGCACUACAAAGGAAAUUCCCUUCUCAACAGGGACUCAGCCAUUCUUGUUUCUUGCCUAAAGAGCCCAUUUCCCCAAAAGGAGGGGAUUAAGUAAGGAUUUAUAUCCCGAGAAGGAUGGGUCCACGCAGCUAAACACAAUUACUGAGAAACCAUAGGGGGAAAUUCAGGAGGUUUUCACAAGCCCCCUAUUUCCCAGCUCUGCAUUCUUCUUGCAGAGAGCUAUUGUCUCUGAGUCAUCUAGAGUUAAAGAGGGGGAAUGACUUUCUCCAGGGAAAACACGCUCCCCGCUGGGAGACCCCCCCCCACUAUGAUGACCAUUUAACCAAAUUUUUUAGUCCCGAUACUUUGCCCUUUUUCUCAACAGACCCUUUUAAGCCUGAGGAUCUCUUUUUAACCCGUCCCUUAAUCCUCGCCUGGAUGCUCUGAUUCUGUCCCCGCAAUAGGAUGCAAGGACCCACGGGGAGCACGAGCACCUCUCUUAAGUGUGGGCUCGGCAGGUUCAUCUUCCCUCCAUCCCGCUCUUGGGCUUGAGUCGAGAGAACCUAAAUCUGCUCUGUCCUGUCUCUACCUCACCAGGCUUGACAGGAGUCUAGACUCUAAAGACACAUAUGUGUUGAACAAUUCCCACCAACUAGUGUUUCUGGUCCCAACCCAAGAAAUAGCAACCUGGUUUCAAUGACAGCCUCCCACCUGCUGUGUGGGGAUAGGAUGGUUACUGGAGGUGGUUAAAGAGAUGAAGGACAAAACCAGGUCAGCCUUAUUAGGAAGGGGGCCCUAGUGACAACUGAUGUGAUGAUCCAGUAACCUAGAUGGGGCACAAUCGCCAGGACAUCAGUAUACAGCUACGGCCUGGGCCAGUGGUGGCCCAACGAAGGACCACAGGCUGAAUUCAGUCCACUCACAGCUGGGUGAUAACGUUUAAAAUUUUAGUCAUCAACAUUUUAAACUGGGGGCAACAGCAUCUAGAAUAAAUCCAGAUUACCACCUUCUCUUAAAAAAACGACAACAAAACAGAAGAUCUGGCCACACAGGGUCCCCAUUUCCACAUGAAACCACCCUCCAGGCUGCCCACCCCCUUAGGAUGGAACAGGAAAUUCCCCAUUUGGCAAGGUCUCCAUUACUCUUGUAACGGUCAAGUUAAUUAAAUCUCACCUUGAAAAUCUCUUAAAGGCAGAGUAAGCAAAGAAAGGCAAGAAGGCAAAUACGGGGAGAAGAGCUAAGGGACGCUUUGCUAGGACGUUCAACCCCAUCAUGAUAAUGCAGGGGAGCAAGAUUGGCCACCCCAAAAUACGUCUCUUUGGCACAAGGAUUAAUUCAGGCCCCUAAAAAUUACUCCUGUUCUUCAUUUCACCUUGCAUCUGAGUCAACCAAAGAAGUGAUGUCCCCGUCUCAAGGGGGAAGCAAGAAAGUGAAUCAUUCUCUGAGUUUCGUCCUAGGCCCCCAAAACCUGGUAACAUCUAAGAAGAACCAGAUCCUGAGCUCGAGGACAUUAGCUUCGAACAAAUCUCAGAACAAAUCUCUGUCUCAACACUGGCCUCAACACCCCUGCCUUAUGUGGUUUAUGGAAUAACACCUAUUGUUCACCUGACUCUCGUGCCUUUGAUGGGACUGUACCCUGGAUUCCUAAAGGAACAUCUACCCUGGGCCCCUUUCCAAUGUAAACCCCUAACCCCAAGGGGCAGGGAGGCUGACCUCUCCUUUUCGGAGUCUCCCACACAUUCAGUCUGCUAUAAUCUAUCACUCACACUAUUUAGUAAACUGCUCUCUCUUCCUCCUGGCUGUAUUUGAUUUCUAUCCUACAGGAAGCCAAGGAUCCUCUUGGUGUGUCCUGCGGGACCCCCUCUGGGUCCUUGGAAUGGGCUGCCGAUGUCUCAAAGAGAUGCACUGCCUUUAUCGUUUGAAUGGAAAAUCCAAUAAUCCAUUUUCUUCCCUUAAUUAGUUUAUAUUUCUUGGAAGAGAUUUUUUUUUUUCCCCAAAAAAAAAAAAAAACCACUUACUAAGCAGCUACUAUAAAUCGCCAGCACCAUGGUGGUCAGGGUGACACAGACCUGGUGCCCAUAACCAUCUAGGCAAAGAGAUGCACAAGUAAAUGAAUUCUACAACAGAGGGUUUAUUUGGGAGGCCAGGGAGAGGGUGGCCCAGCAUAUCCUGUGGUAUUUGCCUCCAGCCAGUGUGUCAAGAUGCCAAAGGGCCUGGCAAAAACUCAGUUCAAUGGGGCCUGGAUAAGAAAUGCCAACUUGAGGGCGCCUGGGUGGCUCCGUUGGUUGGGCGACUGCCUUCGGCUCAGGUCAUGAUCCUGGAGUCCCAGGGUCGAGUCUCGCAUCGGGCUCCCUGCUCAGCGGGGGGUCUGCUUCUCCCUCUGAUUCUCCCUCUGAUCCUCCCCCCCUCUCAUGUGCUCUCUCUCUCUCUCUCUCUCUCAAAUAAAUAAAUAAAAUCUUUAAAAAAAAAAAAAAGAAAUGCCAACUUGAGAACAUAGGGAGACAGCCAUGCUCUCUGUUGGCAGAAGUUUUCGAAAAAACAAGAGGCGCAGGAGGGUCUGAUCAAGCAAAACUUCAUCUCUGAUGUCAUAAUUAUUUAUUCAGCAUAUUCUAUGCUACGUCAAUCCCUAACUAGGUUUUCACCCACAGCAUCCAGCUCAGCACCCACCAGUAUAUUAAAGCUACAGAGUAGUGCCGUCCAAUAGGUCUUCCUAUAAUGACGGGAACGUUCUGUACCUGUGCAGUCAGAUACAGCCGCCUCAGCUCCACGUGACUAUUGGACAACUGAAAUGUGGCUAGUACAACUGUAAUUUUUUUUUAUUUUAAUUAAUGUAAAUUUAAACAGCCAUAUAUAGCAGACAGCGCUGCUGUAAGAAGCUCUGUAUUCAACAGAGAAGAGAGCCAGCCUGGCAAGAAAGCAGAAUACCUCAGAAUCCUCCACCCAUCCCUACUUGAGGGAUUUGGCCAGUGUCUUCAAGGCAUUAAUGAUCUGAUGCCUAGAAAUAUAUAUAUGGACUUGCCUUUGGUUCCUUCCUUAGCCUAGCUUGAAAAUUCUCAAGCCUUUAGUAUGUAUAAGAAUGCCUGAUGAGGGGCGCCUGGAUGGCUCAGUCGUUAAGCAUCUGCCUUCGGCUCAGGUCAUGAUCCCGGGGUCCUGGGAUCGAGCCCCGCAUCGGGCUCCCUGCUCGGCGGGAGGCCUGCUUCUCCCUCUCCCACUUCCCCUGCUUGUGUUCCCUCUCUCGCUGUGUCUCUCUCUGUCAAAUAAAUAAAUAAAUAAAUAAUCUUAAAAAAAAAAAAAAAGGCUGAUCAGAGC
Mirounga angustirostris (Northern elephant seal) is the source of this 5618-nucleotide long non-coding RNA. RefSeq lists it as uncharacterized. The transcript is spliced from 4 exons. The record is from RefSeq and is a predicted model, not a curated record. NCBI's taxonomy places the organism in Eukaryota, Metazoa, Chordata, Mammalia, Carnivora, Phocidae.